GAAGCUACUCUGUCUGUGAUCAAUGUGCAUUUCUCUCCGUCGAUAUUUGAAGGAAUCAUGUCUGUGAUUGAAUGUCUUGAUACUCAGGAUCAUGGAGAUCGAAAUGCUCCAAUUGACCCCGUUCCCAUCUUUCGUUUCACCGUCGAUACCAACUUGGUACUUUUCAGGUUGCACGUCAACCUUGAAAAUGAAGGAGAAAAUAGCACAGUGCUUGUUCUUUCUAUUCAACAGCUGGAUCUCUGGUAGUGUUUCUUUUGCUGUACAUUUAUAUCUACCACGGUGGUGUCUGCUUGUUUUGCCAAGCAGUUGAAUAUGUUCCUAUGCUUCCUAUCAUACACAUAUUUGGUCUUACGAUCACUGCCUGUGACUCAUCUACUGAUGCCGUAUUCACUUACCAAAGUUGAAGAGUGGUCGGUCCGUGUGAAAACAUUGGAAAUAAAAGCUUGCUCCUCUAAAGAUGCAGACGGUCAUAUUUUGUGUUCAUCUGGGAAUCUACUGAAAUCGUACUCUGCCUAUGGACAGGGGAUGGAUGCUCAUAAUAUCCGGGGGUUGAUACUGUCAGAUGCAGGGAUACUGUCUGACAAUGUAGAGAUGCAUGCAUCUCAUAAAGUAUCAUCUUUCUGGCAUGGAGUUGCAUUUGAUGCACCUGAGACGCGCCAUCUUCACAAAAUUUGCAAGGAAACAUGAGUACAAAAGUCCAGAUAAGAGAUGUGUCUCUUCUUAUAUCAGAUGGAAGGUGGGGAUGUAGCGGUCUGCUUCUUGAAGUUCUUAUGAGAAACUUUCUGCUGCAAGCUAAUCUGACCGCGAAGAAGGAGGAGAGUUUGGUUUCAUGUGAUCUUGAAGUGAAUUAUAAAAUAUGCACAAGGUCUUGUGGGAACCUUUUAUUGAGCCAUCAAAUUAUCCCGAAAAUUUGAUCGUGGUACGACCUUAGCCUUGUUUCGCACUCACGGAGUUGCCAUUUUGGAAGACUUCAUUAUAACUUAAGCAGAUGGGGUCGGUAGCAUCCAUCUAGAUCUCGUUUCUGUAGACAGCAAGUUUUCAAAUGAAAUGAACAGUGGAGGACUAGAUAUCUUUAACCUUUCUAGUAGAGCGCUCCAAAAACUACUUAAUGAGGUAGAGCUCUAUACCAGUGGUUGCAUCAGAAUAUGGAAGCAGUUGUGUUGAUGUAUGAUGAUCGCUUUGACCUCUACAUUCUUCAAACUCAGCUAUAUCUGAUAGCUCAGGAAGGAGGUAUGUAAUCACUGGUACAUAUGGAGACGCAUUCGAAGGCAUGAAGUUGAAGUGAGUGCCAAGUACUCUGUGAGAAUGCUGUAAUUAAGAAUGACACGGUAGCCGUAACGGUGUAUGGCAAUUUUCAUAUUGUUGGAAUGUUGGUAUCAGAGGUAGAAAUUGCAGACUGAAGAAAGAUUUUAUUUUCUUUUAAUAUUUUAAAGAUAAAGAUACAAUACUCAGCUUAUCAUCCUAUACGAAAUGUAGUUUUAAUGAAAUUGCUGACUGAAAGAAAGACACAUGUUCUCUUCCCUCUUUGUUGCCUUGCCUUACUCCUUAGUAUUCCAUCAUAUUUGUUCAAUUAAUGCGUAGCCUUUUUAA
Molecule: long non-coding RNA, 1590 nt
Organism: Arabidopsis lyrata subsp. lyrata
Lineage: Eukaryota; Viridiplantae; Streptophyta; Magnoliopsida; Brassicales; Brassicaceae
Exons: 9
Source: RefSeq, a predicted model, not a curated record